CAGGUACUCCCUCCGUCCGGAAAUACUUGUCGUAGAAAUGGAUGUAUCUAGACCUAUUUUAGUUUUACCAUUUUUAUCCAUUUGUAGGACAAGUAUUUUCGGACGGAGGGAUUAUGUU
Non-coding RNA from Triticum aestivum (bread wheat), 118 nucleotides. Lineage: Eukaryota; Viridiplantae; Streptophyta; Magnoliopsida; Poales; Poaceae. The record is from Rfam.